This is a long non-coding RNA of Cyanistes caeruleus (blue tit), 2239 nucleotides long. RefSeq lists it as uncharacterized. Lineage: Eukaryota; Metazoa; Chordata; Aves; Passeriformes; Paridae. The record is from RefSeq and is a predicted model, not a curated record.
AAGAUCCCCUUCCCCUGCCCAUUCCUUCUUACUCACACCUUUUCUGUCAAGAGCUCAAACACUUGAGACAGGUGAGGAACCAUCCAAACCUUGUCCAGACUAACCAGUGUGACCACUGCAACCUUAUUCCAGUUUCCAGAAAAGUAUUUCAAUGUGCACUGACACUAGGCUCUUAGAUGUCCUUCUCCUUGCUGCAGCACAAGGGAAGAAGGAUGUCAGUUUGCCAGAGUACACUGUUUAAACCAGCUUAACUACCAGCUGAGGGGAACUGUGUGGUUAGAAGAAACAGGAUCAUUUUACCAAGUUAUUGAAGUGGAAUGCCUCAGGUGACAUGAGUGACAGAUUGGUUUCUUUACGUUGAUGGUUUUGCAAGACUUGUCUUUGAUUUGAAGAUGAGUGACCCAACCCUUUACUAAUUUUGCUUCAACCAUGCUUCCAGAAGAAAAACAGCAAAUAAAAGUCAGUUGCUUGUGUCUACCUUCAGGUUCAGAGAUUUUCCUUUACACAGCUGUCUGAAUGCUGAAGUGUUUACUACUGAAGAAGAUCAAAAACUGCCUUGUGUUACUAAAGAAGCAUUAAUUCUCUCUAGAUCUGAGAGAAGUUGUCAGAAGAUUUUUCAAUUGCAACCUAGAUUUAUAAUUUGAUGGUAUGUAGUUCAUAACAAGUCUGAACCUGUAGAACCUGGAACAUUUAGAUAAUUUAGUUCUCAUUAAUUUGCAUUUAUUUGUAAUCUUCAUGUAGUUGUGCAACUCUGUUAAAAGGACACAUAUUCUAAUCUUGUUUACACUGUCUGUAUAGUAGUUUAAGCUUUAUGGAUUUAAUUUGAUGAUAGAAAAGAGAGGAAAAUCAGGUUCAAAGUGUAUGAGAUUUAGACGUGUAAGACCUGCAUGUGUGAGCAUGCCUUGUUAGCAGGCUUAAAGCAGACAUAUAGAAGUUUUGUUUCCUUCUCAAGACCAGUUCCUCUGUGUCAAGGGAUCAUCAGUUAAUGUUAUCUUCUGAGCCAGCUCAGUGGAUGUCGCAUCAAUCCUGCUUUAAAUUUGCCAACAAAACUUCUCUGCUUAUAUCUGCAGUUAAAAAAUUAGUGUGAUCAUUUCCAGGCAGGAAAUAGCUGCACUCCCAACUGCUAACCCUUGUGGGGUGGCAGGGUAUGACCACACAGCACAGCAUGUGUCUUGCAGGCUUUUCCAAGCCUCAUGCUGUCAUGUGUGUCUCUGUGACAGCAUAAAAAUACACAAACCUGCCUGUACCUUUUCAUGUUUGCUACUACCAGUAAGGAUGCGCUGCUACAAGUGAAACGUGAGGAAACUGUCAUUCUCAGUUAAUAUGGGCUUUAUUAUGAGACUGAAUUUACUUUGGGAUAGACCCAAGGACCAGCUCUUUUUUGUUUCCCAAGUGGGUACCUAUACUAACAUAGAUUGCACUGAGAUAUUGCUAAGUAUCACUUUCAGCUUGACAGAGGAGCUUUGUUCAAAAUAUCCAUUUCAAAUAUUCUGAUAUUGAUACUCUGAAAUUCUACAGCACAUAUUUUUAUAUAUUUGAAGAACCAAAUGAACUUGCUUUACUCUUCUCAGACUGUAGCCAGCACCAGUAAUCAGUACCAGAACUGUGUAAGAGGGUUUUGUUUCAAAAUUCAGAUGUUUUCUGCUUUUCAUUUGGUCUCUAUUUGAGGCCAAGUGAAUUUUUCCUUUUUGUGCCUUUUUUGGAGCUGCUUGAUAUACUUCCUCAAGUGCAGCAGAAGGUGAAAAGUACAUGAGAGACAGAAAGGAUUUCUGAAGAAGAGGAUGUGACAUCAGAAAAAGGGAAGUUUGGAAAUUGUAGCUUUUCUGCACAUUAAGACACUCUUUGUUGUACCUUAAUGCAAUACUGGAUCCUAAUUUAACCUGACUUAUGCUAUGCUUGUUACCAUUCCCUCUUGUAAUCAGCACACUCUUAGAAACAGUAGUGCAUAUGCAAACUGCCUAUUACUAAGUUUUGAUUGUGAAAUUUACAAUUUUGAUUCUGUGGUGUCAUCACCUGCUUUUUAAUGUAUAAAUGGCUCUACAAGCAGUGAGACAUAAAAGAAAUGGGCCUCGUUUUAGUAAUGCCUGUGAAAAUUAGUAAAAAAGUGUAUCUAGCUGAUUCAGCUUGAACUAUUUUAUUUUUUGCUUUUCUAUGAAGAGGAAUAGAAGCAAGACAUGAAGUCAUAGGAAUUUUUUCAUAUGUGUUGUAUUGGUGACAGUCAUUUUUUUGCAGCAUGAUU